This is a long non-coding RNA of Raphanus sativus (radish), 613 nucleotides long. RefSeq lists it as uncharacterized. The record is from RefSeq and is a predicted model, not a curated record. The transcript is spliced from 2 exons. NCBI's taxonomy places the organism in Eukaryota, Viridiplantae, Streptophyta, Magnoliopsida, Brassicales, Brassicaceae.
GUCCGUAUGCGAGAAUCUAAUACUUUCUAGUUUUUUAUUUACCUUUGAUUUUUUUUUUAAAUUGUCUGAAAGAAAAUUUUGGUAUUUGUUUGUUUUGUUAUUAUACUUAUCAUCCUUUAUUUGUCUUCAGGACUAAUAUACGGAACGGCAUGGCUUUAAUAUGAAAGAUAAGUUAUUUCCUGAUACUAUAUCUCGUUUUUCAUAAUAUAUAUUUUGUUUCCCUAUCAAAUGUGGCAUAGUUUAAAUUUAUUAAUAUGCUUUUUAAUUUUUAAUUGGACAGAUACAUGUAUUCACCUUGUUUGAUGAAAAUAGCUGAACACGUGACUAAAUCCUCCUGUAAGAGUAAUUUGGAAGUUCUGGAUGUUGCGCCACACUCCCAACCGGAAGAAUUUGGAAGUUCCGGAUGUUGCGCCACACUCCCAACCGGAAGAAGCCUUCCUUUGCUCUCCCAGGUAUAGAGCGUGAUUAUCAAGAUGAUUCUGAUGGGUGAACAUCCAUUCUGAUUGGCAUAAAAAUGCAUGGGCCUACUCAGAAUUGGGAAUUUGUUUGACUUUAAAUUGAUGUCGUUAUAGAUAAGUCAUUAAAACAAAAAGAAUUCUGAUUGGUUGACUAA